AGUGAACGCUGGCGGUAGGCCUAGCACAUGCAAGUCGAACGGCAGCACAGUAAGAGCUUGCUCUUACGGGUGGCGAGUGGCGGACGGGUGAGCAAUACAUCGGAAUCUACUUUUUCGUGGGGGAUAACGUAGGGAAACUUACGCUAAUACCGCAUACGACCUACGGGUGAAAGCAGGGGAUCUUCGGACCUUGCGCGAUUGAAUGAGCCGAUGUCGGAUUAGCUAGUUGGCGGGGUAAAGGCCCACCAAGGCGACGAUCCGUAGCUGGUCUGAGAGGAUGAUCAGCCACACUGGAACUGAGACACGGUCCAGACUCCUACGGGAGGCAGCAGUGGGGAAUAUUGGACAAUGGGCGCAAGCCUGAUCCAGCCAUACCGCGUGGGUGAAGAAGGCCUUCGGGUUGUAAAGCCCUUUUGUUGGGAAAGAAAAGCAGCAGGUUAAUACCCCGCUGUUCUGACGGUACCCAAAGAAUAAGCACCGGCUAACUUCGUG
Molecule: ribosomal RNA, 492 nt
Filed under: uncultured bacterium
Lineage: Bacteria
Description: partial 16S ribosomal RNA
Rfam family: Bacterial small subunit ribosomal RNA
Source: RNAcentral